CUUACGGUUUGGAAAACCUUGUAAUUCUUCAACAAGUUUAUCUAAGAAUCAGCCAGCAGGCUUCUAAAGCAUCAGAGGAGAAAGUGUCUAACAUCAGAAGUUCAGUAAGCAUGCAUUCGAAGAAACCCACAAUAGUUGUUGAUGAGUACUAUGAGUGAUGAACAUUGAAAACAGCUCUUGUAACUGUAAUCCUUGCAAUUGUCUGAUUAUGCCAUGACUAUGUUUGAAUAACAGCCCAUCCAUGUAUCCUCUUUGUGAUGUCCAAAUAGUAUUGUUG
RNAcentral lists this long non-coding RNA (277 nucleotides) under Sorghum bicolor (sorghum). RNAcentral's name for it is "long non-coding RNA (SBIC_LNC009596)". Lineage: Eukaryota; Viridiplantae; Streptophyta; Magnoliopsida; Poales; Poaceae. The record is from RNAcentral.